Small nuclear RNA from Cavia porcellus (domestic guinea pig), 112 nucleotides. The record is from Rfam. Lineage: Eukaryota; Metazoa; Chordata; Mammalia; Rodentia; Caviidae.
GAGCACUUGAUUUAGCUACACAUAUACUAAAAUUGGAACAAUACAAAGAAGCCUAGCAUAGUCCCUGCACAACGGUGAUGACACCCAAAUCCAUGAAGUGUUCUGUUUUGCU